UAUCCCAAUUAUGCAUUCUGGAACUGGGGUU
Molecule: non-coding RNA, 31 nt
Filed under: Mus musculus (house mouse)
Lineage: Eukaryota; Metazoa; Chordata; Mammalia; Rodentia; Muridae
Source: RNAcentral